GGGUCGGUGGCGUAGCUGGUUAUCGCAUCUGUCUAACAUAAAUUGCGCGUUGAUAACUCUCACACAGAAGGUCCUCAGUUCGAACCUGGGCCGACUCA
RNAcentral lists this transfer RNA (98 nucleotides) under Armillaria solidipes. RNAcentral describes it as "tRNA-Val". The record is from RNAcentral. Lineage: Eukaryota; Fungi; Basidiomycota; Agaricomycetes; Agaricales; Physalacriaceae.